CGUUCGGAUCAGGUCGCGGGGAAUCGGCUGUGCCUUCCGCGCGCAGGUGCGCGUGCCAGGCCCCGCGUCCGCGGCGUGAUCCGAACGGC
RNAcentral lists this transfer RNA (89 nucleotides) under Streptomyces daghestanicus. Its description in RNAcentral is "tRNA-Gly". Lineage: Bacteria; Bacillati; Actinomycetota; Actinomycetes; Kitasatosporales; Streptomycetaceae. The record is from RNAcentral.